Molecule: ribosomal RNA, 253 nt
Filed under: uncultured bacterium
Lineage: Bacteria
Description: partial 16S ribosomal RNA
Rfam family: Bacterial small subunit ribosomal RNA
Source: RNAcentral
UACAGAGGGUGCAAGCGUUAUCCGGAAUCACUGGGUUUAAAGGGUGCGUAGGCGGGAAGAUAAGUCAAGGGUGAACGCUCGUCGCUUAACGACGGAAUUGCCUUUGAUACUGUUUUUCUUGAAAUAUGUUGAGGUUGGCGGAAUGAGACAUGUAGCGGUGAAAUGCUUAGAUAUGUCUUAGAACACCGAUUGCGAAGGCAGCUGACUGGACAUUAUUUGACGCUGAGGCACGAAAGCGUGGGGAUCAAACAGG